RNAcentral lists this ribosomal RNA (493 nucleotides) under uncultured bacterium. Its description in RNAcentral is "partial 16S ribosomal RNA". It matches the Rfam family "Bacterial small subunit ribosomal RNA", at positions 29 to 523 of the family's 1533-position model. The record is from RNAcentral.
AUUGAACGCUGGCGGCAUGCUUUACACAUGCAAGUCGAACGGUAACAGGUUAAGCUGACGAGUGGCGAACGGGUGAGUAAUGCAUCGGAACGUGCCCGGUCGUGGGGGAUAACGCAGCGAAAGCUGCGCUAAUACCGCAUACGAUCUGAGGAUGAAAGCGGGGGACCGUAAGGCCUCGCGCGAUCGGAGCGGCCGAUGUCAGAUUAGGUAGUUGGUGAGGUAAAGGCUCACCAAGCCAACGAGCUGUAGCUGGUCUGGGAGGACGACCAGCCACACGGGGCAUGAGACACGGCCAAGACUCCUAGGGGAGGCAGCGGUGGGGAAUUUUGGACAAUGGGCGAAAGCCUGAUCAAGCAAUGCCGCGUGCAGGAAGAAGGCCUUCGGUUUGUAAACUGCUUUUGUACGGAGCGAAAAGGCUCUCUCAUAUACGGGGGGCUCACGACGGUACCGAAAGAAUAAGCACCGGCUAACUACGUGCCAGCCGCCGCCGUAA